This 204-nucleotide unclassified non-coding RNA is filed under the name Hevea brasiliensis (rubber tree). Lineage: Eukaryota; Viridiplantae; Streptophyta; Magnoliopsida; Malpighiales; Euphorbiaceae. The record is from RNAcentral.
ACUGGUUUGAUGUAUACAAUCUGUGAUUUUUUUACAAAUUAUUCACAUUUAAUUACAUUUCACUCAUAAUCAUGAUAAAAUCUUAUCUUAAUACAUAAAACCAUAUAACAAUAUAAGCAGUUGAAGUAGUUUAACUACCUCUUAAUCAAUGUCUAAGAAAAAGGGAUAUGCAAAGAAAUCACAGAUUGUAUACAUCAAACCAGU